GCUACCGCCUCGAACUGUCGCAAUCCAAUGCGGCGUUCCCGAAAGGGAUAGGGGCGGUAGUUUAU
RNAcentral lists this non-coding RNA (65 nucleotides) under unclassified sequences. RNAcentral describes it as "DUF3800-IX RNA". It matches the Rfam family "DUF3800-IX RNA". From Rfam's summary of the family: Actinobacteria, Firmicutes (1 example), Nitrospirae, Proteobacteria, Verrucomicrobia (1 example). The record is from Rfam by way of RNAcentral.